GGGUGGGGUGCCAGGAGCAGGGGAUGAGUGUGGAGAUGGAGGAGCUUGCGAGGUGUGCGAGCGGUGAGCCUCUGCUUGGUUAGAGCAGCAGCAGCAGGAGCAGAAGCAUGGGACCACGCCGUGGCACACCGUUCCCACAGGAGACGCUCGCAGCAGGAGCAGGAUGAUUGAUUGAUGUAGCCAUGGUCUCAGUCCAGACAUGAUGAUCCCUGCCUCCUUGAGGAGGCAAGACGAACGAAAUUGAGAGAUAGCGAGAGUGAGCGUGAGAGAGAGGGAGAGAGGAAGAGAGGUAGGGGUGGUGUUUAUGCUGCCGCGCUGUCUGUGGUAUGAUGUCGGACGUGUCGCAUCAGACUGCAGGAGGAGUUUGAAUAUUAUAUAUAUAUAUAUAUAUAUAUAUAUAUUUUGGUUCUCGUGGUUUGAUGAUUGAGGGGGUGUCAUGGUACAAUUAGAGUGACUGUCGUGGAGUCGUGAGAGGGGAGGAGGAGUUUGGCCUUGCAAGCAUCACCGGGAGUGAAAACAUAGGGACUGGGAGCGAUGCCGUGGAAAUGGAGGGGGAAGGAGAGGGAGAAGGAGAGUGCGAAGGAGAAGGGCGUCGAUUGUGACAGACAUUUUGGGGUAAUCAGGAAGAUUUAAUGGCGUUCGGGAGGAUGUGAUCGUGGUUCUGCCGCAGAUGCACCUUAGGUGCUUUGUUUUCGAUAUGAUACCGUUUUCCGCUCAUGUGUGGGAUAUUCGGAUAGUCCAAGUCUGUAUGAGAUAUAAAGCGCGUGGAUUUGGAGGGAGUUGUGCACUUCCGGCGAUUCGAGUGUUGUAGUGCCGAGUGGUACAGGAUGAAUCCUGAGGCUGUGAGAGUGGAGGAUUUUAUUGCCGUCUCCUGAUUGUUCUUCUUCGAUUCUUCCUGCUGGAUGUGGCGAGAGAUGCCACGAUGGAGGCAAUGCAAAGCGUCGUAUUUCCUUGUUUCGCGAACCUGCUUGUAGUGUGACAUGUCCACUAAGUCCCCGUUUUUAGCCAGAAUUUUGUGUGUAUAUUCUUCUUGAUUCCAACUUCUGAUAGUAGGUCGCCGCAGUUAGGGUAGGAAACGAGUGAGAAUUACUGCAGCACUUGAUCAACUGGCACCCUAACGUCUUUGAGACCAAUUCGAUUUGGUGUUGAUGCUUUUGAUUCUGAAAGCUUAAGCUGUUUCUUAGACCUUGAAUCAGGUGUUUUAAGUUCACUUUUGGUCAAGUUCUGUUUAUUAGGUGAGUUGUAAUGUAGUUCAGUCCCACCCUUUACUCUCUCUAUCCCACCUUCGGCACGAUUCAUUUUCAAUGCCGUAAUUUAAAUGCUAUUACUGCUCCUACCCUCAGAUAAUUUCCACCUUCUACCUCUUUUUUAUUUUUAUUUUAGUUUUCCCCCCAUCUGAACGCUUUCAGAGUGCAAUUGGCGUGUGGAAAGAUUUUUAUUUAUUUAUUUAUUUAUUUUUAGUUGAUGAUUGGUACGUGCUUGAUUAUUUUACGUCUUGUUUUGUAAUAGUGAGUGGUUCAAGCACUUCUACAAAACUCGCUCUAAACUAAGUUGAUUUCUAUUUUACAUGCAAUUGGUUUCCUAGCGGUGAAGGGAACGCUUCAAUUAAGUUGGUAUAGAAUUUGGGGUAGUUUGCACGGGUACACUGCCAGUGAAAGAGUCUGUUGUCCAGAGGUAUGCGUUCUUUAGCUUUUGUUGCGGAAACAUCCUCAUAAAUAAGUUUGUGGGUUUGUAGUUGAUAGUGCUGUUGACGGGCCUCUACUGAUUUUUCGAGUCAUUGUGAGGGGUUUACAGGAAGGCGGGGAUUAAAAAGCUAGGAAAAGGACAAUUUUCUUGGUGCUCAGUGUCCAUUGCAUAUUGCGGGUUUUUAUUUGGAGAAUCAAAGAGAAUUUGAGCUUUUGGAGAAAAGUUUGAUUUCCGUCGGAGGAAAAUUUCGCGUGGAAACAAUUUUAUGAAUUGAUAUGAGCGAGGACUGUAUUGGAAUUUUACCAGGACCUGGUGGAGUUGGGAAGUCUAGACUUGGUGCUGGAUUCUUCGCAGUAGUCAUCAUGGACAUGAAUCAGAAACAAGAUCCAGAUGCUCAAGAAGCAACAUUAUUUUACCCUGUUCCCCAUUCCCACUGGUUCCCCCGGUCUCUUGCUUUUAAGUCUUAUAGACCUUCAAGGAGGAGACCGGAGCUGGGUCCGGGCCAGAGAGGAGCAAGAAAACCUCACUCUCAGAUUUCACGACCCUUGUCAGUCAAGUUGACCAAGGAGAUUGUGAAUACGUACCGUGUUUGCAAUCCAAGAUUUCAGUUUUCGGAGAGCCACAACCCUAAGAGAUUUUUAACCAUUCCUUCCGCUGGAGUUUCUAAUAAUGGUUCAGACAACGAGAAUCAUGAUCUUAUUUUGUACUUUGGACGUGUCUUGGUUAACGAGGACAGAACGCACAGAUAUGUUGUGAAAGAUAUCGUUGGAUGCGGUACUUUUGGGCAGGUCGCGAAGUGCCUUGUGCCGGAGACCAAUGAAUAUGUGGCUGUGAAAAUCAUUAAAAACCAAAGUGCUUACUCGGCGCAAGCCAAAGUAGAAAUUGGCAUCCUUCAUAGGUUGAAUAAUAUACGUGAUUGGAGAAAUGAGAAUCAUGUUGUGAGAAGCUUUGACCAUUUCAGCUAUGAAGGGCACCUCUGUAUCGUCUUUGAGCUUCUUGGAGUUAACUUGUUUGAGCUUCUGAAGACGAACAAAUUCAAAGGGAUCUCCUUACAACUGGUGCGGAUCUUCACUGGUCAGUUGCUGGAUGCAUUGAGUUUAUUGCAUGAUGCACGUGUAAUACACUGCGACCUCAAGCCGGAGAACAUUCUGCUGUCUAGUUUGCGUGCUGCGGAGUUGAAACUUAUUGACUUUGGAUCGGCAUGCAUGGAGGAGCACACAGUUUACUCGUACAUACAGAGCCGAUUUUAUCGAUCACCAGAAGUUGUACUUGGUCAUCCGUAUACAACAGCUAUUGAUAUGUGGUCAUUGGGAUGCGUCGCAGCUGAGCUAUUCCUUGGUUUGCCAUUAUUUCCUGGGCAAUGCCCUUACGACCUCCUCCUUUUCAUCAUUGAAAAACUAGGAAAACAACCUUCUGAUCAUAUUUUACAGAAUGCAAAGAAUACAAGCAAAUACUUUAAGGUGAUAAGUGCAGCUCCACAACCAGAAAAUGGCCACAUAAGUGGACAUAAAUCAGUUUAUCAAUUCCUUACCCCAGAAGAGAAUGAAGCUAGAGAAAAAAAGAAACCUGUUAUUGGAAGGCGUUACAUGAGCGGGAGCCUUGAGGAUAUGAUUAUGACCUAUCCAAUGAAGUCAUCUGGAAGAGAAGAACUGGAAAAAGAAAGAUUCAGCCGAAAAGUGUUUAUCGAUUUCUUGAGGGGACUUAUUGAAGUGGAUCCUCACAAGAGAUGGACACCUCAUGAGGCUUCUCAACACCCUUUUCUUACUCAGGAACCCUUCACGGGUUCUUUCAGGCCACGAACAGAACGAAUAUCCCAUGCACCUUCUGGUCUGGGGCUGAUGAUAGAGCACCCCUCCUUGUUUGGGCAAGGUCUUUCCCCUCAUGUCGGGAUCAUGAGUUCAACCGCCCAACUAAUCGGAGGCCAGCAACUUCAGCCCGUAUCCUUACCGGUUCCAGGUAGUCCAGCAAGUUCUGGAGACAACGGUACUUUAGGCAGCAGUUUAGGAAGUAUCGGAGAGGGUACAGGCUCAUCUAUGAGUAUGCCACCUCGUUUGAAUGGACAUACUUCUUUUGGUCCUUGGUCUCCUGAUACCAGACGGCACCACAUGCAACGCAUGCAAAAUGCUGGACACACUCAACUUGGAACCAGUCCUUCGGCAAGUGGAGUGUGUUCGUUUUCACUAGGAGCUAGCCCUUCGCAUCAGUUUCAUGUAUCUGGUCCUCAGUUUAUGGUCUCUCCUGCAUCUCAGCAAAUAUCGUCUCCAGGUUCUCAAUAUAUGGGUUCGUCAGGUAUUUUGUACCAGGGAUUUCCAGGGUCAACAUUCCAGUCAUCGCCAGGGUCAAGUGUUCCUUACGACAACGUUCUCUUGGCUAGGCUUCAGCAACAUAAUGCUGCCGGAAACACAGACGUUAGUAGCAGCAACUUUGGCCACGUGGAAGGCAGCCUUCAAUUGAAAACAUUAAGGGUUUGUGGGAACACGGGGAUGGUUGUCCAGCACCAACUCAACAACACUUGCCCUCCGGGAGCACUUGGGCCUCAGUUCUUUCCGUCGGAGACUACUACUGAAGCUGGUGAUGAGGAAUGUGCAGGUUUCGGAGAUUUUGACGGUGAUUAUCGGGAAGAACUUCUUUUUGAACAUGAUCCUGUUCACGAAUCAAGUGUGUUUCCUAUGCCGUCAGAGAUGGGACCUUCUGCUGGGGUGAUGGGAUGCGGUGGAGCACGGUUAGGGCCAGGUCCAGGUCCAGGAUAUGGACCUGGUGGCCCAGGCUCUAGAUUCACAAAAGCUCCUCUGCAGGGUUCGUACGGAGGGUAUGGUCGAGGUCAAACGUCAAAGCAAGGCUCAGCCUCGUCUAGUCGCCUUAGCCACAAACAUCACAAACAACCACACGCGCAUAACCAGCAACACACUCAUCCUCAUUCCCCACAGCAUUCUUUGACUUCUGGAUCCUAUUCUGGUAACAGCUCUGGGCCUCCUAGCCGAAGAUUCUCUUCUGGAGAGCCUACUAGCCACGUCUCACCAGCUGGGGUGCUUCAUUUCCAGCAGAGACAACAGCAGCAUCCACCUUUACAUUUCCCUGACCAUCAACAUCUGUCUGGUUCACCUCUUCAUCGUUCUGGAAACAUAGCAGAGAAGGAGAAGAAAAGAGGGGAUGGUCUCUUACCCUCGCCGCAGAUGGGACCUAGAGGCUUCCAUGCUGCGGGAGUUAAUAAUGAACAGUCUUUGGGAAUGGGUGGCCACCCUGUAGCUUGGGGUAACCCUGAUGGACAUCAUGCACUGCCUAUGCUUGCUAGGUUGGGGCAGUUCCACGAUCUUGGAGUGGGUACAACAACAUUUCCUGCACAGCCGCCUGCAUUUCUAUCGAACCAAAUUUAUGCUACUGGGCAGUUCUUUGCUGGUCGCAGGCCUGGACCAGCUUUAGUGGGAUUGAACAGACCACCGCCAACUGGCAGGGGAGUCUAUCGGAAGUAACGUAUUCACUCACCAAAUCUUAUUCGAAUCAAUAUGUGAGCGACGUCUGCAAUUGGACCUACCUAGUCAGUAGUCUAUUCCGGAUGUUGUAUCAUGUCGGAUAAACCAGAGUGCUUUGAUGAUGGGAACAUGGCCUUACUUCAGCACCUAAAGAACGUAGGAGUCUUUGUUAAAGUGAGUACUCGAACAUAUUUUUCAAUGAACGUGGAAGUAUGGGCCUCUACCUCUUUGCUAGGCCAGAUCGGUGGUUAAUGUGGAGGAGUUCUCCACUCUCAUUUCAGUGCUCUUUGUGUUCCGGACCACUCGGUUCUGACAUGUCAUGCCAAAAUGAGUGGGUUUGGCGUCGCUGGUGGUUUGGCAGCAGCUGUUUGUCACAGACGUUUUUGCUGCCUUGCGCAGAUUUCUGAGACCUUAAGACUUACUGACUGCAUUAUGGAAGUUGGAGUUGAACCUCCAGGUCUAUUUUUAUGAAGCUAGCUUGGUUGCCAAAAUGCUUGUUUCCUGGUGUUCAAAUCGACCAUAGGUAUUGAUUCAAAAUAUUGAGUUUUAAAAAUUGCUACAGUCGAGCCUGUCAGGACUCUGCUGUCCCAUUACCAUUGUGGUGGUGGGAACUGGGCGUGAAAAUUUCUGCUUUUCUUUUUAGGUGUUUAGAGUGAUCUCUUAGGGAGCAUUGUGUUUGUGAUAAGGGACAAAGUUUUGAAGCUGGUUUCAAUAAUUGAAAGGUGAUUUCGAGAUUACUCUUCCAUUUGGCAUAUUUGUUCCAACUUCAAGAUGUAAGCUUUAUCCUAUGAAUGAUACUAGCGUGACGUGUAUCCGUUGUA
Non-coding RNA from Physcomitrium patens, 5977 nucleotides. The record is from RefSeq and is a predicted model, not a curated record. Lineage: Eukaryota; Viridiplantae; Streptophyta; Bryopsida; Funariales; Funariaceae.